Molecule: long non-coding RNA, 273 nt
Organism: Galeopterus variegatus (Sunda flying lemur)
Lineage: Eukaryota; Metazoa; Chordata; Mammalia; Dermoptera; Cynocephalidae
Exons: 3
Source: RefSeq, a predicted model, not a curated record
AGAAAUACUUGUUAAAUAUCUUCCAUCAACUGAUAAACAAGUGAACAAAAAGAUUUCCAUUUUAAAGGAUCAUGGCUUUAUAGAAAAUUUGACAUUUGGAUGGGAUGGACCAUCUUGGAGGUUACUUACAGCUCUUAAAUUGUUAUGUCUGGAAGCCGGAAAAUUUACUUGCUGGAAAAAAGUACUUCUUGGGGAAAUAAUUUCAGAUACAAAUGAGAAGACAAGUUUGGACAUAGCCCAGAAAAUAUGCUAUUAUUUCAUAGAGGAGACUAA